GAGAUUUGCUUAGAGCAGAGUGCUUGAAGAAAUGGCUCCUCUGUUCAUACCAUACCCAACAGAAAUCUGGGUCCAUGAAUAAAGGGCACAAAGCUUGCCUCUAAUGAAAAAUAUCUCACAUGU
This is a small nucleolar RNA of Suncus etruscus (white-toothed pygmy shrew), 123 nucleotides long. RefSeq annotates it as small nucleolar RNA SNORA11. The record is from RefSeq and is a predicted model, not a curated record. NCBI's taxonomy places the organism in Eukaryota, Metazoa, Chordata, Mammalia, Eulipotyphla, Soricidae. The transcript has a single exon.